RNAcentral lists this ribosomal RNA (253 nucleotides) under uncultured bacterium. RNAcentral describes it as "partial 16S ribosomal RNA". It matches the Rfam family "Bacterial small subunit ribosomal RNA", at positions 524 to 776 of the family's 1533-position model. The record is from RNAcentral.
UACGUAGGGUGCGAGCGUUAAUCGGAAUUACUGGGCGUAAAGCGCACGUAGGCGGCUUGGUAUGUCGGGUGUGAAAUCCCCGGGCUCAACCUGGGAACUGCAUCCGAAACUGCCUUGCUAGAGUAUGGGAGAGGGAAGUGGAAUUUCCGGUGUAGCGGUGAAAUGCGUAGAUAUCGGAAGGAACAUCAGUGGCGAAGGCGACUUCCUGGACCAAUACUGACGCUCAGGUGCGAAAGCGUGGGGAGCAAAAGGG